UGAGGAAUAUUGGACAAUGGGCGCAAGCCUGAUCCAGCCAUGCCGCGUGAGUGAAGAAGGCCUUCGGGUUGUAAAGCUCUUUUUACCAGGGACGAUAAUGACGGUACCUGGAGAAUAAGCCCCGGCAAACUUCGUGCCAGCAGCCGCGGUAAUACGAAGGGGGCUAGCGUUGUUCGGAAUUACUGGGCGUAAAGCGCACGUAGGCGGAUUGUUAAGUCAGAGGUGAAAUCCCGGAGCUCAACUUCGGAACUGCCUUUGAUACUGGCAAUCUAGAGUCCGGAAGAGGUUAGUGGAAUUCCCAGUGUAGAGGUGAAAUUCGUAGAUAUUGGGAAGAACACCAGUGGCGAAGGCGGCUAACUGGUCCGGUACUGACGCUGAGGUGCGAAAGCGUGGGGAGCAAACAGGAUUAGAUACCCCCGUAGUCCCUGAGCGGGCUGGCAAGGCGCAU
RNAcentral lists this ribosomal RNA (448 nucleotides) under uncultured bacterium. RNAcentral's name for it is "bacterial SSU rRNA". It matches the Rfam family "Bacterial small subunit ribosomal RNA", at positions 355 to 825 of the family's 1533-position model. The record is from RNAcentral.